GAGUUUGAUCCUGGCUCAGGAUGAACGCUGGCGGCGUGCCUAACACAUGCAAGUCGAGCGGAGCAACCUUGAUGAAGUUUUCGGAUGGAAUCAGGAUUGACUUAGCGGCGGACGGGUGAGUAACACGUGGAUAACCUGCCUUAUACUGGGGGAUAACAGCCAGAAAUGACUGCUAAUACCGCAUAAGCGCACGGCGCCGCAUGGCGCAGUGUGAAAAACUCCGGUGGUAUAAGAUGGAUCCGCGCCUGAUUAGCUAGUUGGCGGGGCAGCGGCCCACCAAGGCGACGAUCAGUAGCCGGCCUGAGAGGGCGACCGGCCACAUUGGGACUGAGACACGGCCCAAACUCCUACGGGAGGCAGCAGUGGGGAAUAUUGCACAAUGGGGGGAACCCUGAUGCAGCGACGCCGCGUGAGUGAAGAAGUAUUUCGGUAUGUAAAGCUCUAUCAGCAGGGAAGAAGAUGACGGUACCUGACUAAGAAGCCCCGGCUAACUACGUGCCAGCAGCCGCGGUAAUACGUAGGGGGCAAGCGUUAUCCGGAUUUACUGGGUGUAAAGGGAGCGUAGACGGCAGGGCAAGUCUGGAGUGAAAGCCCGGGGCCCAACCCCGGGACUGCUUUGGAAACUGCCAUGCUAGAGUGCUGGAGAGGUAAGCGGAAUUCCUAGUGUAGCGGUGAAAUGCGUAG
RNAcentral lists this ribosomal RNA (684 nucleotides) under uncultured bacterium. RNAcentral's name for it is "bacterial SSU rRNA". It matches the Rfam family "Bacterial small subunit ribosomal RNA", at positions 9 to 693 of the family's 1533-position model. The record is from RNAcentral.